AAAUUGAAGAGUUUGAUCAUGGCUCAGAUUGAACGCUGGCGGCAGGCCUAACACAUGCAAGUCGAACGGUAACAGGAAGCAGCUUGCUGCUUUGCUGACGAGUGGCGGACGGGUGAGUAAUGUCUGGGAAACUGCCUGAUGGAGGGGGAUAACUACUGGAAACGGUGGCUAAUACCGCAUAACGUCGCAAGACCAAAGAGGGGGACCUUCGGGCCUCUUGCCAUCAGAUGUGCCCAGAUGGGAUUAGCUUGUUGGUGAGGUAACGGCUCACCAAGGCGACGAUCCCUAGCUGGUCUGAGAGGAUGACCAGCCACACUGGAACUGAGACACGGUCCAGACUCCUACGGGAGGCAGCAGUGGGGAAUAUUGCACAAUGGGCGCAAGCCUGAUGCAGCCAUGCCGCGUGUAUGAAGAAGGCCUUCGGGUUGUAAAGUACUUUCAGCGGGGAGGAAGGUGUUGUGGUUAAUAACCACAGCAAUUGACGUUACCCGCAGAAGAAGCACCGGCUAACUCCGUGCCAGCAGCCGCGGUAAUACGGAGGGUGCAAGCGUUAAUCGGAAUUACUGGGCGUAAAGCGCACGCAGGCGGUCUGUCAAGUCGGAUGUGAAAUCCCCGGGCUCAACCUGGGAACUGCAUUCGAAACUGGCAGGCUUGAGUCUUGUAGAGGGGGGUAGAAUUCCAGGUGUAGCGGUGAAAUGCGUAGAGAUCUGG
RNAcentral lists this ribosomal RNA (711 nucleotides) under Salmonella enterica. RNAcentral's name for it is "bacterial SSU rRNA". It matches the Rfam family "Bacterial small subunit ribosomal RNA", at positions 1 to 701 of the family's 1533-position model. Lineage: Bacteria; Pseudomonadati; Pseudomonadota; Gammaproteobacteria; Enterobacterales; Enterobacteriaceae. The record is from RNAcentral.